CUACGGGCGGCUGCAGUGGGGAAUAUUGGACAAUGGGGGAAACCCUGAUCCAGCAAUGCCGCGUGUGUGAAGAAGGCCUGCGGGUUGUAAAGCACUUUCGGUUGGGAGGACUGCUUCUAGCACUAAUAUUGUUGGAAGUUGACGUUACCUUCAGAAGAAGCACCGGCUAACUCCGUGCCAGCAGCCGCGGUAAUACGGAAGGUGCAAGCGUUAAUCGGAAUUACUGGGCGUAAAGCGCGCGUAGGCGGCUAGAUCAGUCGGGUGUGAAAGCCCCGGGCUUAACCUGGGAACUGCAUCCGAUACUGUCUAGCUUGAGUACAGGAGAGGAGAGUGGAAUUCCACAUGUAGCGGUGAAAUGCGUAGAUAUGUGGAGGAACACCAAUGGCGAAGGCAGCUCUCUGGCCUGAUACUGACGCUGAGGUGCGAAAGCGUGGGGAGCAAACAGGAUUAGAUACCCUCGUAGUC
RNAcentral lists this ribosomal RNA (465 nucleotides) under uncultured bacterium. Its description in RNAcentral is "partial 16S ribosomal RNA". It matches the Rfam family "Bacterial small subunit ribosomal RNA", at positions 339 to 795 of the family's 1533-position model. The record is from RNAcentral.